UAGCAGCAAGAAAGUUUUUCAACUCUUUCUGCUUAUGGGCUAGGUUUAGCCCUCUAAUAUUCCAAAUGACUAUAAUCAUAGUAACAUGGAGUAUUGAUUAUGAGAGGGCCCUGGGUCAAUCUGUUGACCUCUUCUACCAGAAUGUAACACAUCAACAGCUGUCUUCCCUUUAUUGCAUUCAUCAAUCUUCCUGCACUGUUGUUCACUGUCAGUAUCUAUAGUCCUCUCC
This 229-nucleotide long non-coding RNA is filed under the name Nicotiana benthamiana. RNAcentral's name for it is "long non-coding RNA (NBEN_LNC024379)". The record is from RNAcentral. Lineage: Eukaryota; Viridiplantae; Streptophyta; Magnoliopsida; Solanales; Solanaceae.